GGGCAGAUAGAUCAGCUGGAAGAUCGCAUGCUUUGCAAGCAUGAAGUCGCGAGUUCAAAUCUCGCUCUGUCCA
Molecule: transfer RNA, 73 nt
Filed under: Methanomassiliicoccaceae archaeon
Lineage: Archaea; Methanobacteriati; Thermoplasmatota; Thermoplasmata; Methanomassiliicoccales; Methanomassiliicoccaceae
Description: tRNA-Ala
Rfam family: tRNA
About the family: Transfer RNA (tRNA) molecules are approximately 80 nucleotides in length. Their secondary structure includes four short double-helical elements and three loops (D, anti-codon, and T loops).
Source: RNAcentral